RNAcentral lists this ribosomal RNA (431 nucleotides) under uncultured bacterium. RNAcentral's name for it is "partial 16S ribosomal RNA". It matches the Rfam family "Bacterial small subunit ribosomal RNA", at positions 29 to 507 of the family's 1533-position model. The record is from RNAcentral.
AACGAACGCUGGCGGCAGGCUUAACACAUGCGAGUCGAACGCCCCGCAAGGGGAGUGGCAGACGGGUGAGUAACGCGUGGGAACAUACCCUUUUCUACGGAAUAGCUCUGGGAAACUGGAAUUAAUACCGUAUACGCCCUACGGGGGAAAGAUUUAUCGGGGAAGGAUUGGCCCGCGUUGGAUUAGCUAGUUGGUGGGGUAAAGGCCUACCAAGGCGACGAUCCAUAGCUGGUCUGAGAGGAUGAUCAGCCACAUUGGGACUGAGACACGGCCCAAACUCCUACGGGAGGCAGCAGUGGGGAAUAUUGGACAAUGGGCGCAGGCCUGAUCCAGCCAUGCCGCGUGAGUGAUGAAGGCCUUAGGGUUGUAAAGCUCUUUCACCGAUGAAGAUAAUGACGGUAGUCGGAGAAGAAGCCCCGGCUAACUUCGUG